GAUGUGGCUCAGUGGUAGAGUGCUUGCCUAGCAUGGCAUGAGGUCCUGGGUUCAGUCCCAGCAAAAAACA
Molecule: transfer RNA, 70 nt
Filed under: Marmota monax (woodchuck)
Lineage: Eukaryota; Metazoa; Chordata; Mammalia; Rodentia; Sciuridae
Description: tRNA.Ala
Rfam family: tRNA (bases 3-63)
About the family: Transfer RNA (tRNA) molecules are approximately 80 nucleotides in length. Their secondary structure includes four short double-helical elements and three loops (D, anti-codon, and T loops).
Source: RNAcentral